Astatotilapia calliptera (eastern happy) is the source of this 1433-nucleotide long non-coding RNA. The record is from Ensembl. Lineage: Eukaryota; Metazoa; Chordata; Actinopteri; Cichliformes; Cichlidae.
GGGAGGAAGGACACAAGUUUAUGUCAAAAAUGUUUAUUAUCCAUGGCUGUACAACAGAGGCAAAGAAAUGAUCCUUGAUAGCCACAUUUUUAACAUGCUGACAGCAAAAAUUGUCUUUCAUUUUUUAAAAUUGUAAACAGAAAGUAAAGAAUUUCAAAUACACGUUGUCAUGUAGAACAAAUUAAAAACAUGAAAUGCAUUCAAUACCAUGUGGCGAGAUUGUGAAUAAAUUACAUACUGUACAUUUGCUCAAAAUGAAUGAAAACAAAAUGCAGAAUUAAUGAGUGUCAAAGAAAAUAUGUUACUGUUACAUUCAUAUUUAGCUCUCUGCCAGCAAUGCAGCUUUUCACAGUUUUCAAUGCACAGAAACAGAAACAAACAUCUGAGGUACAACAAAAGACAAAUUUUCUUCUGGUAGAUCACAUAACUGUAUUUUUAUACACAAUACAGACCACAAUAUAAUAAGCACACAAUAUACUGUAUUGUCUGUAUUUUUCAGAACAGCAAUCAGUCCGAGGGGAAAUGACUGACUGCUGGUUGCGAAGAUCUUGCAGUCGUCUGGAGAAUAUUUAUACCCAGGAUUUUGAUGACGUAUGCAUCAGCAGUGGCAUGUUCUAAUGAGGCAAACAAGCAAAAUACAAGUCUGACACACUCUUCCACUGCUGUCUGUCACUUCCUUUCCUUUAAUGUCAAAUGCACCUCCUUGAUCAAGAAGAUUUUGCUGGUAUCUGUCCUCCCAUCUUCUGUAAUGCAAGCUUCAUUAUUCCCCAACUUGAAAGAAAAAAGAAAGUUAUUAUUUUUUCAUCUCUCACAGCGACCUCAUGUGAAAAAAGGUAGCUGCAGGUUUAAAUUUUCCUGUGAAGCUUGGAAACUCAAGAGGACCAACAUUAAAAUUUUCUAACGCUGCUGUUAUUACCUGCAACCACUCAGAUAUCCACCAGAGGACAAGCAGUUCAUUAAACCAUCAUCUUAACAAUCUAUCAUGUUCAGACCGCCUGAGGAAGGAAAAAAAAAAAAAAAAAAAAAAAAAAAAAAAGGAAAAACUUCCACUCGCAGGCACUUAAGGACAGCAGGGAGGAAAUGUCAGCCAAGAGGCAAAUUAAAUCUCAUAGCUAUUUGUUCUUACAAAGAAAAUCAGGGGAGAUUUAAAUGUCGUUUGACAGGAAAUGCACAUGAGAAAGAGUCUCAUCUCUGCGGCUGUUCAGUCAUCAGCGAUCACUGCAGAGAAGCUGCUUUUCCUUUUGCCCCCAGAUGCAGAGAAUGACCCCACCUUUAGAAGAACAUUUUGGAGGAUUAAACUCCAAGGAUGAGCAAUGUUUCUUACUCUGUUACUCUUUUUAAAGCAGGAAGCGAAAGAUCCUUCGAAUUGCUUUCAACUGCUGGAUGCUAAAAUGUUUCUAUGAUUCUGCUUUUCAUACGUUAUUCCCAAAAAU